Molecule: unclassified non-coding RNA, 205 nt
Filed under: plant metagenome
Description: partial contains small subunit ribosomal RNA, internal transcribed spacer 1, and 5.8S ribosomal RNA
Source: RNAcentral
GUAGGUGAACCUGCGGAAGGAUCAUUACUGGUCUGUCAGAAUUUUUUUUAAUUAAAAAAUCUGGCUAUCAUGAUCAAUCACUGUGUGCACAAUAUUGAAGUAUUGAUUUUGGCAGACAAGAUGGGAGAGAGAAAGAAUUUAUUUUAUUUUAUUUUUUUUUACCCAAGUCUGCCAAAAGUUUUUCUUUAUAGCCUGAUGAUUUGAC